This is a long non-coding RNA of Bubalus bubalis (water buffalo), 958 nucleotides long. RefSeq lists it as uncharacterized. Lineage: Eukaryota; Metazoa; Chordata; Mammalia; Artiodactyla; Bovidae. The transcript is spliced from 5 exons. The record is from RefSeq and is a predicted model, not a curated record.
GGAGGAAAGGCGAAGGUGUCAGGACAGACCCUGCCUGCGUCCUCCAGCUGCUGGAAGGCCCAGCCCAGGUUCAAGUUCACCAGGCAAGGCACGUUUCUCCGUGUUGGGCACGUCCCUCUCCUGCGCCCGCAGACACUGAGUGGAGUUAAGCCGUUGCCCCUGGGGCUCUUAACAGCUCUUUGCACGGUGCUCCGACCUGUAUCCCAUGAGUUAUUUAUUGGGUCCCAUGUUGUUACCUAAUGAUGAUGACAAGUAUUUUCCUUGAGCCUUGAAGACUAAGAGGAGUGCCAGUAACAGUGGCAACAAUAGUCAAUAUUUAUUUUUCUCUUCCUCUGCCAUGCUGGAAACCGAGGAGGAGAUGGAGGCAAGAAUCCGAGACCUGGCUGGAGGCAGGAGACGGAAUGGAUUAAGUGUGGCCGUGUCACUUGGGGCCUGCUCUGUGAGUCCAGUGGGAGGCAGAGAAAUCAACUUCCAGAUUCUCCUCACAACAGCCCUCCCACCAUCAGGCCCAGGCUUCGAGCGAGAUCUCCAGGUGCCAGAAUGAAUGAGAGAAAGUGGGGCUUGUGGUUUGCUGCUGCGACGAUAUUCAGCAGUUGUUCAGAAAUGGUUCCCUGCUGUGUAUCAGAAGGGAAGGGAGAGAGGGCUUCCUUGGAGGAACUGUUCCAAGACGCACAGACCCAAUCAAAUGACGCUCAGAGGGACACAGAAGCAUUGUCUAACAAGAAAAUGGAAAUGUCUAAAGCCAAGUUCAAGGAAGAAGAAAAUCCAGCUGAGAGCAUUUGUCUUGGACAACGUUUGUCUUCUGAAAAAUGCUGGUUGGAGCCCCUCCAGCCCCUCAGAGUCUGGACGUCCUUGGGCCCCGACCCCCUGCUGUGCUCUAUCAGUCUCCUGGCGUGUGGAGCUGGAGAGAUCAAUGACCACGUCUUCCACACUGCUCACAGGACUGCCUUCCUCCAAG